UACGGAGGAUCCAAGCGUUAUCCGGAAUCAUUGGGUUUAAAGGGUCCGUAGGCGGUUUAAUAAGUCAGUGGUGAAAGCCCAUCGCUCAACGGUGGAACGGCCAUUGAUACUGUUAGACUUGAAUUAUUAGGAAGUAACUAGAAUAUGUAGUGUAGCGGUGAAAUGCUUAGAGAUUACAUGGAAUACCAAUUGCGAAGGCAGGUUACUACUAAUGGAUUGACGCUGAUGGACGAAAGCGUGGGUAGCGAACAGG
RNAcentral lists this ribosomal RNA (253 nucleotides) under uncultured bacterium. RNAcentral describes it as "partial 16S ribosomal RNA". It matches the Rfam family "Bacterial small subunit ribosomal RNA", at positions 524 to 776 of the family's 1533-position model. The record is from RNAcentral.